Alligator mississippiensis (American alligator) is the source of this 5494-nucleotide long non-coding RNA. RefSeq lists it as uncharacterized. The record is from RefSeq and is a predicted model, not a curated record. NCBI's taxonomy places the organism in Eukaryota, Metazoa, Chordata, Crocodylia, Alligatoridae. The transcript is spliced from 3 exons.
AGCUGGGUGUGGAUUUUCUGGUUUGGGAUUAGAUGGAGCCGAUAACUCAUAGAGACAUAUGUCCCCAGACAGCAGGGUGCUAAGGAGAGAAUAUCUGAUUCCAAAUGACAAGAUUGUUCAAUUCAUCUCAUUCGAUUUUUUCCUGUUUUAACCUUAAAUUGUAUGAGAAGACCUCAUCAGAUGUCACUAUCAUCAGCUUGACAUCAAAUCAAAUCAAAUCAAAUCAGGACCCCACACCCAGGAAUAAAUAUAAAAUUUGCUUCUCAGAAUAGCUCACUGUUUAGUAUAGGCUAGCUUUGGUGGUUUCGCUCUGGCAAAUUGUAAAUAGCAGAUCAUUACGAUCACUUCCUUCAAUUAAAUGCUGGACCCCUUUGAAUGUGCCAGUAAAUGAUGAAUUGGCAUCAUUGUGAGCUCUGCAUUCAAACCGGUGGAGUUUUGAAGUAGAUUCAAAUUCCAAGGAAACAACAGGUGGGACUUUUAUAAAGGUGGCUACCUUUCUCUGCAAAGGUAGAGCCGUCACAGCAGGAAAAGAGGUUGAAGGCCAUAACUGUGUCAUGUGGCCACAUACUUUUGGGCACACAAAGAGCUCCCACACCAGCAGGAAGAAUGUUCUUACACACCCUUAGUCAAACGGAGCUGUUUCCAAUGCUACUAUGAAACAUUUGUUUUCUUUUAAACUUGUUUUUCUUCCUUCCAAAGGUCGCCUUAAGUGGUGCUUAGGUUCAGCUCUCCAGGUUGUUUGUGAGCAUGUCUUGACUAAUUGCCAAAUGGCAGCAGGGUUGAUUGCCUUUUUAUAACAUGCUUGAUAAAGCAAGCUCCAAAAGCUUGUGCUUCCCAGUCCCUUGCCUCAAAAAAUGUCCUGUACAAUUUCUAGCCCUUUCUCACUUCCUCGCUCUCCUUGCUGCUGGCUCCUAGGUUGCCUCGCUCAGAUUAAAACUAUCCUCCAGAACCCGUUCGCCUUGGAUUUCCUCCCACCGCUCGCUGUCUUCUUCUGUCUCGUCCAGGAUAGGGACUGACCCAAGCAUGUGAGACUGGUUGAGAAGAGCUGAGGAUAAAGAGCUGGUCCAGCUCCUGUACCAACCGCGAUUGCUGUUGUGUGCAUGUCGUGUAGCGGAUGCCCAGUGCAAGCUAUACACCGCGUACUUCUGGAGCCCUUUCAUGCCACUGUUUUAUUCCUGUAGAAAAUGGGAGGUUGUGCUUCAAGGUGUAGCUCCUCACCUACACACCUAAAUGUGCAUUACUUAAAUGGCAGAUGGAUAGCAAAAUGACUGAGUGUCAUCCCUCUGCAUUAAUAAAAUUCAUCUUUAGCUUUACACUUCCCACGUAGCAUCCGCUUGAAUUCAGAGGCUUUAAUCCCUCGUUUCAUUGCACUGGGUUUUAUUCCUGGGUGACUCCGCUCAAGCUAAACCUGAAUGGCAGAGGGGUGAACAAGCUCGAAAAAUAUUAAUGAUGCCAGUUCCUUUCUUUCAUCACGGGAAACCAGGAUUAGGUGCCCUGAGGUUGCAACAGGUCCAUAAAAAGGAAGGAAGAAAGAACCAAAUGUUAGUGUAAAUUUCUCCAUACCUCAAGAUGGGUGGCUGUUCAGAGCAGCGCUGGAAAGCCACGUGGAAACCAGAAUGGUACUACUGUGGCUAGCAUCAAACCAAAUCAAACAUGGGUCUCCAAGAAGUGAGAAAUUUGUGCAGCAGACAAAUGAAAAAGGUCACCAUUUCUCAAAACCAAGGAGGGAAAGACAAAUGCACGUCUGGAGACCACCAAAGCACCCUAGAUGCCUGGGACAAAACCCUACUAAUAAUCAGCGAUGUUGCCAAAGUUCAGCAUACUAAAUACUCCUAUUGUGUGUAUGCUAGUAAUGAACUCAGAGUUAAACAGUAUAUCCUUUGAGCCUGCUAAAUGGGUUGCAUUAAUCCUAAUGGUAACAAAACAAUAUAAAGCAAAGGCACUGGAAAGGAAUAUCAGGGCCAAGAGGCAGAGGAGAGUUUUUGGUGGGAAGCGAGCGGCACGACUUUGCGUGAUCGACUUUAGUCAAAAUAAGGGUGCGAUCCUGACUCCGCCGUGCACACCGCGCUCCCACUGGCUUCGGCUAAGUGACACUCUCCCGCGUGUGGAAGGAAUAUAGCCUCCGCCUUCACAGUGUCUGAGAUGUGAAGUAUGACGCAGGUAACGGCACGGAGCACUUCAGACUUCAAGUUCGCAUAAAAUCUGUUUCCAAUGUUUCUGACAUGGAGAAUGCUGAACAACAUCAGUAGGAGCACAAGUUGGUGGAAAGCAGGAUUUUAACAAUUGCUAUUCAGCUCACAUAAAUGACAGGCGCACUCCCCUGUAGCUGGAUUUCUCAGGAGAGACAGAUAGUGAAUAAACAGUGAUUUGUUUAUGAAGGGAAGAGACUGUUUCUCUGAUCAUGUGAAUUGUCAUAGGGCCCAAACCGGCAUACCUUAGCCAAUAAGCCUUACAUGUGCAAACAAGUUAAUCUUUGCUAAACCACAACGAGGAAUGGAAAUACUAUCCCCAUUUUACAGAAGAGAGAAUGCAGACAACAAGGAUCACAAGAGGAGCUCCUAACCUGAAGAUCUUCACUCUGUCCAUGAGCCAACGCUACUGCUCAGAGUGCCCAAUUCAAAACCUAUUUAAGUCAAUGCAAAGAUUCCCUUUGAUUUCAGCUGGCUUUGGAUAUAGUCCAUGCACAACGCUCCCAGCUGGGAAAGCUUGCUAGAGUCAUGCCUAUUUUGGAAGUUCUCACCAAUGCUGAUGGUUUGAAAAUACCCAUUUAUCCUGAUUUCAAAAGCCAGGAGCAAAUAAUUUUAAGACUAGCCAACAGAAUAUAUGAUACAAUAUUUAGCCAUUUGCAUAUUUGAAAACCACAGCAGUUGGUCUAAGUAGGCAUGAAGGAUUCUGUAUAUAAUGGCAUCUUUGGGUAGAUGUGUCGGUUUCUGGGUGUUGUAGUUUUAAGGAAAAUUAGUCUCUUCCUUUUACUCACCCUGGCAUUAGAGUCUAGUAUUAAGUCACAAAAGCCAGCUGUGUGUUUGGUGGCGUCUAGGAUUUUAUUGCACACACAUCUCCACUGCAGUUGCUCCAAAAACUCACUCUUUACAAAGAAGUCGCUGCUGUUCCUUCCCAACAAAGACCUCCAGAAGAGAAAAGCUCGUGGUUUCUAUGGAGAACAUUCUCUGCUCUUCCACCUCACUGGGGUAGACUGGGGUUCAAGUCACUCAGGACUCAAGCCAUCCCCUUCACGACUGGGUAGUGUCAUUAUUGUAAGCCAAGAAGAGCCAAACCAACAACAGCAAAAAUAGUUCUCCUGGACACACACCACUGGUCCAGACAUAGCAUUGCUAGGACAUAUUCCUCUCAGAAGCCAGGAUUUAAUACACUAUCAGGUGGUGUCUUCUGUAUCUUCAAUAGGUGCCUAGAUCCCCUAGUCACAGAGGUGUAACACCCUCUGUGCCCUGUGCUGCUAUGGUAAGAAGAGCAGUAGUGGUGGCAGCGAGUGGCGCACCUGUCACCCACCCCCACUACUGCUUAAUCAUAAUAGAUCCUUCUCCCCUCCCCACCUGAUGUGUUAAUAAAUUAAUUAAUUAGCACAAUCAUUCCUAUUACUGAUUUUUUUUUCACUGAGAAUAGACUAUAAUUAAGAGGUCAAUUAAAUUAAGAGUGCAUACCAAACUGAUUCCUUUGUGCCCCAUAGAGGAAGGAGUAGGGGAUGCACUGCCGGCUUGUGCUUGUCUCUAAAUAUGAAACACUCUGGGCAGCACAGACCACGUGUCUAUUCUGCACGAAAACCCCAUUGUUUGUGCAUAGCCUCUCUGUAGCGAACCUGAACUAAUUGCACAAGCCUGCCAUCAAGCCUACCUUGCAUCAACAAAUAUCAACUGAAAACGGAUGGCAUUUAACUACUUUUCUCAGAAGAUGAUUUCACUUGCACAAUACAUGAUGGGCUGUGUAAAAUACACCUAUUGUGCUAUUAAUCACUGCUAUUCAUCCUUCAUUUUCAAAGGCAGUUCAGACCAGUGUUCUGGGUCCCCUUAGACUCCAAGCUUGCUUAGUGAAAUGAGGCGCUGUGCUGGGAAGGCAGAAUAGAAAGAGGACAUACUUGGAGCGAAAUUUGGGCCACCAGUGAAGUCAAUGACACCAGCACUGACUUCAGCAGCUCCAGGGAGUUUAUGGGUGCAGAAACACUGGCAAUGAACACUACAUGGGCUUCUCUGUUAUGGUGGGCAGAAUAAUUGUAUAAAAUACUUGCAUAUUUGAAGAUAAUUCACAGUAGGUCCUGAUGUGCAAUUUGAACCACCCACACAGAGUCCAGUUGAAUCCACAGGGUGCCAGAUGGGUGCAGUGGUCUCUUGAUGGGGGUCUGAUAGGAGAUCCGGGCCUCGCUUUUUGAUGAAUGCUGUAUUUAAUAUAUAUGACACAGGACACCCAAACCAGAAACAUCCUGUCUUGCUCCCAGCCCAUCCAAGCACCUUGGCACCCAGACGCCAUCCACGCAUGUUUCCUACACCAAUUUUGUAUUGCUCUUUUUUUUUUCUGACUUUUGUCAAACACUGCAUCAAAUUUGCAGGGUCCUGAUUUUCACAUUCACAUUUCCAAGCUUUGGUUUGUGUCCUUUUUUUUUUUUUGACAGAAUUAAAGAAAAUGCUUGUUUUUACAGUUUCACCACUCCACGUGCUUUGACUGGGAAGCUACCUUUGUUAGAAAAGGGAUUCCUUUUCCCUUGAAAAAUGUGCCUGACUGCAUUUAUGAGCAUAGCCUCUGUUACUGAAUUAGCAACAACACGGGAGGAAAAAAAACCUAAAUUCAAUGAACCAUGAUCAGGCUAAUCCAAGGAAAUCAACACGUGUCUCUGCAGACGUCUCAGAGUACCACGCGCUAAGACAGGAGAAUCCUGCUUAACGGCCCUCUCUCAUUCACCCCAGCAAAUAACUAACGGAGUGUUGCCAGCCUUCACGAUUGUAUUGCGAGUCUUGCAAUGUUCGGUGUUUUUCCUUAGAGCUGGAGAUCCCUUUCCAUUUGAUAUUGUAUUGUCAGCUUUUACUUAAAAUAAAUUAUGUUUCUAGCCCUCACUGAAUCUUAAAAACCAAGCUCUAAACAGUCUAGCGUCAGGAAGCAAAUGAAAGGAAUCUGAAAUGCCACAUUUUUCCAUGUCAGUAUAUUUAAGCAAAUCUUGUCAUUGCGGGAGGCGCUGAUUCAUGCUCUUGAAAGAUUGCAUUUCAUAAUACUGCUACGGUCUAACAAGCUAUAUUUUUAAAACUGAAAGGACUCUCGGUGUCAUAGCAAGGAGUAAAAAGUGCAUUUGUUGCUCUUCUUUUUGAUUUGACCUUUAUUUCUUAUUUUUUUAUAACUAUGUCUGAUAACUUCUUUGAAAACACUGAGAGCCACAGUUUCAUCCCCACCACCUAGUUAAGCACCACUUAGCACUGACCAGCAGUUUCCUUACCAGGAGCAAUGUAUAUUAACUCUGUCCAGAUUAAAAGGUAAUCCUUGCCAUUCACAGUCA